AUUGAACGCUGGCGGCAGGCCUAACACAUGCAAGUCGAGCGGAGCGGCGGACGGGUGAGUAAUGCCUAUGAAUCUGCCUGGUCGUGGGGGAUAACGUUCGGAAACGGGCGCUAAUACCGCAUCCUCUCCGACGAGCCUAGGUGGGAUUAGCUAGUUGGUGGGGGAAAGGCCUACCAAGGCGACGAUCCGUACCUGGUCUGAGAGGAUGAUCAGUCACACUGGAACUGAGACACGGUCCAGACCCCUACGGGAGGCAGCAGUGGGGAAUAUUGGACAAUGGGCGAAAGCCUGAUCCAGCCAUGCCGCGUGUGUGAAGAAGGUCUUCGGAUUGUAAAGCACUUUAAGUUGGGAGGCGUUACCAACAGAAUAAGCACCGGCUAACUUCGUGCCAGCAGCCGCGGUAAUAC
This 407-nucleotide ribosomal RNA is filed under the name uncultured bacterium. RNAcentral describes it as "partial 16S ribosomal RNA". It matches the Rfam family "Bacterial small subunit ribosomal RNA", at positions 30 to 526 of the family's 1533-position model. The record is from RNAcentral.